CAAGUGAAAAAAAUGAGUGAAAGAAGGCUGACGAAGAGAGUGUAUAAGGGAAAAGUAGAAGAGGGAAUCGGGGAAAUCCUGAGGAAAGGCCAGGUCAAGAGCACCCUAAACCGGCGAGCGUGUAUGAGGAAUGUUAUGAAAGUAACGGAAGCGAAAGAGGUAUGUCAGGAUCGUAGCAAUUGGAAAUCCGUGGUCUCUGCCAACCCCUCCGGGAAAUAGGCGUGAUUAUAUGUAUGUAUGUAUAAUAUAAUUCUA
This is a long non-coding RNA of Cydia amplana, 255 nucleotides long. RefSeq lists it as uncharacterized. The transcript is spliced from 2 exons. NCBI's taxonomy places the organism in Eukaryota, Metazoa, Arthropoda, Insecta, Lepidoptera, Tortricidae. The record is from RefSeq and is a predicted model, not a curated record.